Molecule: microRNA precursor, 104 nt
Filed under: Marmota monax (woodchuck)
Lineage: Eukaryota; Metazoa; Chordata; Mammalia; Rodentia; Sciuridae
Source: RNAcentral
AGACUCCCCAGGCUCGGCUGGAAGGCCACACUCUGAGCCCAGAGAGCGUGUUUUCAGGGUGUUCACUGCUCUCCCCUAGAAUGUCAGGUGAUGUGUCACCCCAA